This 334-nucleotide ribosomal RNA is filed under the name uncultured eukaryote. RNAcentral describes it as "bacterial SSU rRNA". It matches the Rfam family "Eukaryotic small subunit ribosomal RNA", at positions 592 to 918 of the family's 1831-position model. The record is from RNAcentral.
CAAUAGCGUAUAUUAAAGUUGUUGCAGUUAAAAGCUCGUAGUCGGAUUUCGGGUCGGGCCGAGCGGUCUGCCGAUGGGUAUGCACUGUUUGGCGCGGCCUUCUUUCCGGAGACCGCGGCUACUCUUAACUGAGCGGGCGUGGGAGACGGAUCGUUUACUUUGAAAAAUACAGAGUGUUUCUAGCAGGCAGCUCGCUCUUGCAUAGGUUAGCAUGGGAUAAUUUAAUAGGACUCUGGUGCUAUUUUGUUUGGUUUUCGGUAACAACCCGGAGGUAAAUGAUUAAAAAGGGGUACGAGUCAGGGGCGACUCGUAUUCCGUCGAGAGAGGUGAAAUU